UGGGGAAUAUUGCGCAAUGGGCGAAAGCCUGACGCAGCAACGCCGCGUGGGGGAUGAAGGCCUUCGGGUUGUAAACCCCUUUCAGCAGGGACGAAGCGAAAGUGACGGUACCUGCAGAAGAAGCGCCGGCUAACUACGUGCCAGCAGCCGCGGUAAUACGUAGGGCGCAAGCGUUGUCCGGAAUCAUUGGGCGUAAAGAGCUCGUAGGUGGUCUGUUACGUCUGCUGUGAAAUCCUAGGGCUUAACCCUGGGCCUGCAGUGGAUACGGGCAGACUAGAGGUAGGUAGGGGAGAAUGGAAUUCCCGGUGUAGCGGUGAAAUGCGCAGAUAUCGGGAGGAACACCGGUGGCGAAGGCGGUUCUCUGGGCCUUACCUGACACUGAGGAGCGAAAGCGUGGGGAGCGAACAGG
Molecule: ribosomal RNA, 409 nt
Filed under: uncultured Thermomonosporaceae bacterium
Lineage: Bacteria; Bacillati; Actinomycetota; Actinomycetes; Streptosporangiales; Thermomonosporaceae
Also listed under: 1 other name
Description: bacterial SSU rRNA
Rfam family: Bacterial small subunit ribosomal RNA
Source: RNAcentral